Molecule: ribosomal RNA, 289 nt
Filed under: uncultured bacterium
Lineage: Bacteria
Description: partial 16S ribosomal RNA
Rfam family: Bacterial small subunit ribosomal RNA
Source: RNAcentral
GGAUUAGAUACCCUGGUAGUCCACGCCGUAAACGAUGAUUACUCGUUGCAGGCGAUACACUGUCUGUGACCAAGCGAAAGUGAUAAGUAAUCCACCUGGGGAGUACGGUCGCAAGAUUGAAACUCAAAGGAAUUGACGGGGGCCCGCACAAGCAGUGGAGCAUGUGGUUUAAUUCGAUGAUACGCGAGGAACCUUACCAGGGCUUAAAUGUACAUUGACCUCUCGAGAAAUCGAGAUUCUCUUCGGAGCAAAGUACAAGGUGCUGCAUGGUUGUCGUCAGCUCGUGCUG